GUGGGGAAUAUUGGACAAUGGGCGAAAGCCUGAUCCAGCCAUGCCGCGUGUGUGAAGAAGGUCUUCGGAUUGUAAAGCACUUUAAGUUGGGAGGAAGGGCAGUAAGUUAAUACCUUGCUGUUUUGACGUUACCGACAGAAUAAGCACCGGCUAACUUCGUGCCAGCAGUCGCGGUAAUACGAAGGGUGCAAGCGUUAAUCGGAAUUACUGGGCGUAAAGCGCGCGUAGGUGGUUUUGUAAGUUGGAGGUGAAAUCCCCGGGCUCAACCUGGGAACUGCCUCCAAAACUGCAUGACUAGAGUACGGUAGAGGGUAGUGGAAUUUCCUGUGUAGCGGUGAAAUGCGUAGAUAUAGGAAGGAACACCAGUGGCGAAGGCGACUACCUGGACUGAUACUGACACUGAGGUGCGAAAGCGUGGGGAGCAAACAGGAUUAGAAACCCCUGUAGUCC
Molecule: ribosomal RNA, 450 nt
Filed under: uncultured bacterium
Lineage: Bacteria
Description: partial 16S ribosomal RNA
Rfam family: Bacterial small subunit ribosomal RNA
Source: RNAcentral